AGCAGCCGCGGUAAUUCCAGCUCCAAUAGCGUAUAUUAAAGUUGUUGCAGUUAAAAAGCUCGUAGUUGAAUUUCGGGAUCAAUGUUUCGGUCAUGCCGUUGGUAUGUGCUGAUAUUAUUGGUUUCUCACCUUCUAAAGAACCGUAAUGCCAUUAAUUUGGUGUCACGGGGAAUUAGGACUGUUACCUUGAAAAAAUUAGAGUGUUUAAAGCAGGCUCACGCUUGAAUACAUUAGCAUGGAAUAAUGAAAUAGGACAUCCGAUUCUAUUUUGUUGGUUUCUAGGAUCGAUGUAAUGAUUAAUAGGGAUAGUUGGGGGCAUUAGUAUUCAAUUGUCAGAGGUGAAAUUCUUGGAUUUAUUGAAGACUAACUACUGCGAAAGCAUUUGCCAAGGAUGUUUUCAUUAAUCAAGAACGAAAGUUAGGGGAUCGAAGACGAUCAGAUACCGUCGUAGUCUUAACCAUAAACUAUGCCGACUAGGGAUCGGAUGAUGUUAAUUUUAUAAUGACUC
RNAcentral lists this ribosomal RNA (508 nucleotides) under uncultured Glomeromycotina. RNAcentral's name for it is "SSU rRNA". It matches the Rfam family "Eukaryotic small subunit ribosomal RNA", at positions 569 to 1077 of the family's 1831-position model. Lineage: Eukaryota; Fungi; Glomeromycota. The record is from RNAcentral.